GGCGGCGACCAUACCACGUUGAAAGCACCGGUUCUCGUCCGGUCACCGCAGUUAAGCAACGUUGGGCCCG
Molecule: ribosomal RNA, 70 nt
Filed under: Schistosoma mattheei
Lineage: Eukaryota; Metazoa; Platyhelminthes; Trematoda; Strigeidida; Schistosomatidae
Source: RNAcentral